Miniopterus natalensis is the source of this 334-nucleotide non-coding RNA. The record is from RefSeq and is a predicted model, not a curated record. Lineage: Eukaryota; Metazoa; Chordata; Mammalia; Chiroptera; Miniopteridae.
AAUAGAACAUUCAAAUAAAAACUUUGGCAGAUGAUGUGCGUGACCGACUUACAAGUUUUAGAAAAUCUACCGUCAAAAAAGAAAAACAUCUUAUCCAACACCCUAUUGAUUCUCAAGUCGCGAUGAGUGAAUUCCCAGCGCCUCAGCCAUUAUACGAUGAACGAUCUUUGAAUCUGUCAGAAAAGGAAGUACUGGAUCUCUUUGAAAAAAUGAUGGAGGACAUGAACCUUAACGAAGAACGAAAAGCUCCUUUACGAAACAAAGAUUUUACCACCAAGCACGAGAUGGUUGUCCAGUAUAUUUCUGCUACAGCCAAAUCUAUAGUUGGAAGUAA